Molecule: long non-coding RNA, 2417 nt
Organism: Bos taurus (domestic cattle)
Lineage: Eukaryota; Metazoa; Chordata; Mammalia; Artiodactyla; Bovidae
Source: Ensembl
CCCAGAUUUGAGCAGCAGGAGCCCCUUCCAGCUGGCCCUAUGUCCUUCUGACACAGCCCCAUCAAUUUUGGCUCAGCCUUCUGGCACAUGGUGUUCCUGGCUUGCCUUGUACUUAAUUUGCCCUAGUCCUGGAAUCAGCCAUUUCUCCAAGGAACCCUACUUCCUUUUAGUGGAGAUUGUAUCUAAAUAGACAUAUUUAGUUGAGAAAAUGGGUUGAGGAAAAAAAAUAUUCAGAUCUCAAAAGCCAAAUCUCAGGGACCACACAACAGAUCUGGGCAGGAUCUGGUUCUUCACCCUGCCCAGGCUCUCCACACAACGGUUUAUAGUGGACUGGGUUGCCUGUGUUUCGGGGCCUAACAGGAGCGUCUGGACUCCAGUCCCAUUGGGCCGCAUGGCAGUCACCCAGCAGUUUCAGGAGCCCUGGGCUGCAGGUGAAGACAUGUGGUUGUAAACUGAGCCCACACAGAUGGAAGGGGGAGAAUUUGAGUUCCCUUUGGGGGAGACCUGCAAGCCGGAGCCGCAGGCUGCUUCCUCAGCUCAGAGAAGAGGAUUUGUUUCUAUUGCUGAUUUGCGGUGACCCUGGGUCUGUGUGCUGUCCUUAGUCGCUCAGUCGUGUCUGACUCUCUGCGACCUCAUGGAUUGUAGCCUGCCAGGCUCCUCUGUCCGUGGGAGUCUCCAGGCAAGAAUACUGGAGUGGGUUGCCAUGCCAUUCUCCAGGGGAUCUUCCCAACCCAACAGUCGAACCCAGGUCUCCCACACUGCAGGUGGAUUCUUUACCAUCUGAGCCACCAGGGAAGCCCAAGAAUACUGGCGUGUGUAGCCUGCCCUUCUCCAGGGGAUCUUCUCGACUCAGGAGUUGACCCCGGGUCUCCUGCUUUGCAGGCAGAUUGUCCACCAGCCGAGCUACCAGGGAAGCCCACCCUGCGUCUGUCACGUGCCAUUUUUCCAACUGCAUUUGCUCACUUCCUGUUUCUGUGUCAUAUUUUGAUAAUUCUCUCAGUAUUUCCAACUUUUUCAUUAUUGCUAUAUUUUUAUGGUGAUCAGUGGUCUUAGAUGUGACUAUUGCAGUUGUUUUGGGCACCAUGAACCACGCCCAUACUAGAAGGCAGAUUUGAUUCAUGAAUGUUGUGUGUAUUCUGACUGCUCCGUGACCAGGUGUUCUCCUGUCUCUCCUUCUCCUUGGGCCUCCCUGUUCCUGAGAUACAAUAUUGAAAUUAGGCCAGUUAAUAACCCUGAAGUGAUCUCUCGGUGUUCAAGUGGAAGGAAGAGUCAAACGUCUUUCACUUUAAAUCAAAAGCUGGAAACAAGCUUAGUGAAAGCCAAGGCAGGCCAAAAGCUAGUCUUCUCACACCAAACCAUUAGCCAAGUUGUGAAUGCAAAGGGAAAGUUCCUGAAGGAAAUUAAAUGGGUGCUCCAGUGAACACAUGGACGAUAGGAAAGUGAAACAGCCUUACUGCUGAUACGGAGGAAGUUUGAGCAGUCUGGAUAGAAGAUCAGACCAGCCACGUUCCCUGAAGCCAAAGCCUAAUGCAGAGCAAGACCCCUACUCUCUCCAGUUCUGCGAAGGCUGAGAGGUGAGGAAGCUGCAGAAGUGGUUCGUGAGGUUGAAGGAAAGACGCCAUCUCUGUAACAUAAUAGUGCCUGGUGACACAGUGCACCGUGCAGAAGCGCUAGCUCAGUUCAUGCGUGAUGGCCCUGCGGUGAAUAGCAGACGUUCAGUGCAGGCGAUGAGACAGCCAUUAAGAACAUUCAUGAUUCUUGGGAAGAGGUUCAAGUAUCAAAAUACACAGCCCUCAUGGACAACUUUGAGGGGUUCAAAAUACAGUGGCGGAAUUAGCUGCAGAUGUGGUGGGAACAGCAAGAGAACUAGCAGUGGGGCCUGAAGAUGUGGCUGAAUUGCCGCAAUUUCAUGAUCAAACUUGAAGAGGAGAUUCUCCUUAUGGAUCGACAUGGAAGUGGUUUCGUGAGAUGGAAUCCAUUCCUGUGAAGAUGUUGUUAAGACUGCUGAAAUGACAACAAAGGAUUUAGACUACGACCUCAACUUCGUUGAUAAAACAGGUUUGAGAGGACCGACUCCAAUUUUGAAAGAAGUUCUGUUGUGGGCCAGGUGCUGUCCAGCAGCACUGCAAGCUUCAGAGAAGCUGUUCACCAAAGUCAGUCACUGCAGCCAGCCUCACUGGUGUCUCAUAUUAAGAAACUGCUGCAGCCACCACCCUGUCGGUCAGCAGAUCAGUGCUGAGGCAAGACCCUCCACCAGCAAACAGAGGAGGACUCUCUGAAGGCCAAGGUGAUGAUUAGAAUGUUAAAACAAUGAAAUAUGUUUACAUUAAGGCACAUACAUUGUGUUUUCAGACAUAAUGUUAUUGCAUGCUCAACAGACUACAGCAUAGUGGAAAUAUAACUUCCGUAAGCAGCAG